AAAACACAGCACUCUGCAAACACGAAAGUGGACGUAUAGGGUGUGACGCCUGCCCGGUGCUGGAAGGUUAAUUGAAGAUGUGCAAGCAUUGGAUCGAAGCCCCAGUAAACGGCGGCCGUAACUAUAACGGUCCUAAGGUAGCGAAAUUCCUUGUCGGGUAAGUUCCGACCCGCACGAAUGGCGUAACGAUGGCCACACUGUCUCCUCCUGAGACUCAGCGAAGUUGAAAUGGUUGUGAAGAUGCAAUCUCCCCGCUGCUAGACGGAAAGACCCCGUGAACCUUUACUGUAGCUUUGCAUUGGACUUUGAAGUCACUUGUGUAGGAUAGGUGGGAGGCUAAGAAGCAGACACGCUAGUGACUGUGGAGCCAUCCUUGAAAUACCACCCUGGUGACUUUGAGGUUCUAACCCGGAUCCAUGAACUGGAUCGGGGACCGUGCAUGGUAGGCAGUUUGACUGGGGCGGUCUCCUCCCAAAGAGUAACGGAGGAGUUCGAAGGUUACCUAGGUCCGGUCGGAAAUCGGACUGAUAGUACAAUGGCACAAGGUAGCUUAACUGCGAGACCGACAAGUCGAGCAGGUGCGAAAGCAGGACAUAGUGAUCCGGUGGUUCUGAAUGGAAGGGCCAUCGCUCAACGGAUAAAAGGUACUCCGGGGAUAACAGGCUGAUUCCGCCCAAGAGUUCAUAUCGACGGCGGAGUUUGGCACCUCGAUGUCGGCUCAUCACAUCCUGGGGCUGUAGUCGGUCCCAAGGGUAUGGCUGUUCGCCAUUUAAAGUGGUACGUGAGCUGGGUUUAAAACGUCGUGAGACAGUUUGGUCCCUAUCUGCAGUGGGCGUUGGAAGUUUGACGGGGGCUGCUCCUAGUACGAGAGGACCGGAGUGGACGAACCUCUGGUGUACCGGUUGUGACGCCAGUCGCAUCGCCGGGUAGCUAAGUUUGGAAGAGAUAAACGCUGAAAGCAUCUAAGCGUGAAACUCGCCUGAAGAUGAGACUUCCCUAGGGAUAUAAUCCCUCUAAAGAGACGUUCGAGACCAGGACGUUGAUAGGUCGGGUGUGGAAGAGUGGUAACACUUGCAGCUAACCGAUACUAAUUGCUCGUGAGGCUUGACUCUAU
Molecule: ribosomal RNA, 1114 nt
Filed under: Snodgrassella alvi
Lineage: Bacteria; Pseudomonadati; Pseudomonadota; Betaproteobacteria; Neisseriales; Neisseriaceae
Description: bacterial LSU rRNA
Rfam family: Bacterial large subunit ribosomal RNA
Source: RNAcentral